AGAGUUUGAUCAUGGCUCAGAUUGAACGCUGGCGGCAUGCCUUACACAUGCAAGUCGAACGGCAGCGCGGGGCAACCUGGCGGCGAGUGGCGAACGGGUGAGUAAUAUAUCGGAACGUACCCUGGAGUGGGGGAUAACGUAGCGAAAGUUACGCUAAUACCGCAUACGAUCUAAGGAUGAAAGUGGGGGAUCGCAAGACCUCAUGCUCCUGGAGCGGCCGAUAUCUGAUUAGCUAGUUGGUGAGGUAAUGGCUCACCAAGGCCACGAUCAGUAGCCGGUCUGAGAGGACGGUCGGCCACACUGGAACUGAGACACGGUCCAGACUCCUACGGGAGGCAGCAGUGGGGAAUUUUUCGCAAUGGGGGCAACCCUGACGAAGCAAUGCCGCGUGGAUGAUGAAGUCUCUUGGGACGUAAAAUCCUUUCGACAGGGACGAAACCGCAAGGUUGACGGUACCUGUAGAAGAAGCCCCGGCUAACUCCGUGCCAGCAGCCGCGGUA
This 500-nucleotide ribosomal RNA is filed under the name uncultured bacterium. RNAcentral describes it as "bacterial SSU rRNA". It matches the Rfam family "Bacterial small subunit ribosomal RNA", at positions 8 to 522 of the family's 1533-position model. The record is from RNAcentral.